Molecule: non-coding RNA, 3446 nt
Organism: Microcebus murinus (gray mouse lemur)
Lineage: Eukaryota; Metazoa; Chordata; Mammalia; Primates; Cheirogaleidae
Source: RefSeq, a predicted model, not a curated record
UUUAUCGGCCGAAGCAGGCCCUGAGAUAGUUGCAGAGAUUCACCUCAGGCUCCACGUGCUCCUGCGGCUUCCACUCUGGCUGCGGUCAUAUUCGCGGGCGCCACCUCGGCACAAAUCUGAGCAUCACGGAGUGACCAGAAGGAAAGGACGGACUUAGCUGUCACACAGGAGGGACUGACUCUUGAUGAGCAGCAGGCUUUCAGAUCAUCAGUGUCUGCAUCUGGAUCUCAUGGAGAAGCCUAAGCAUCAACCAGAGGUCCUUGACUUUGAGCAGGAUGCAAGAACUGGAUGAGAUUCUGGGUCUUUGAAUCCCCAGAGAAGAAACCUACCGACUCAUGAGGAACACUGUGUUCAACUGUUAGGGGACGAGAUGGUCUGCUGACAGUAAGAGAGCAGAGUGGAAGUUUGAGAAAAUGGAGAAGGUUGGAAUAGACACUGUGGUGAACGGGAGAGCCAAGCCAAGAAGCCAAGGGAAGCUGCUGGGACCAUGCCACGUGAGGCCCUCAGUCGGUGGUCAGUGAACGAAGAGCAAUGAAACCGAAGACCAUCAGGGUGAAAACAAUGGAUCUGAGUCAGCACAUGUAGCUCAGAGCCACUCUUGUGGGGUCUGGUGUCAAAGUGCUGGGGCUCAAAUCCCCAAUCUGAGCCUCCUGGGUGUGUGCAGCCCACCCUGAGUGAGCAGGACAAGGGGCAGAUGAAAUGCAAAAGGGAACAUGUCAUGAAAAUUGCCAAAGCUGUGAGCUAACUGGAGUUCCCUAUUUUACUUUGGUAUUCAUUUUUAAAUUUCCAUAAUAAAAUUAAAUCCUCCCCCAUUACCUAAAUAAUGGCACCAAACUUGCCUGCAGAGUACAGUUGGUGCCAUAGCUCCCUAGGCACCAACUCGCUAUGCUUCCCAUACAGUGAACAGCCCUCCUCCAGGCCCUCCUCUAGCCAUGGGGACACACGCUCCUCUUGCCCCCACCCCCACCCCUGUGCUGAACCCUGGUCUAUUCCAGCUCCCCAUGUGCACUUCCGCUUGGCCCUCCUCCUCAGUGUGGGCCACACCCUUUGCCCUCACGUGUCCAGAGGUCAUGCCGGUCCAGGGCGCUGGUCACACCAGUCUGCCUCUUCUGCUCUGCCUGCCUACUGCAAACCCCCUAGCGCAGUCACCACCAUCUGCCUUGGGUGGCUGUACCAGCCUGUUGGGAGGUCUCCCAGCCUCAGGUUUUUAUUUUCUCCUACUUCUUCUCCCCACCGUGGCCCCCAUGAACUUUCUCCAGGACAAAUCAGAGUCCCGGAACUGUGUUAGUUAAAACCUUUCCAUGGCUGGCGGCCCAUGUAAGAUAAAAUGCACGGUCCUGAAUGCACCACCUGGCCCCUGUAGAGUCCUGCCUCCUCUGUGCCACCUUCACCCUCAUCAGCAGCAGGUUGGCCACCCUGAACCCCUCUCUUCAAGUUCCCCAAAUGUUCCUGGUCUAGGUCUAUGGCACGCCUUGCCACAGGCUAGAACACUCCCCCUCUGCCUCUUCUCCCAGGUGCUCAGGCUGUCUGCAGGGCUCUCCCUGAAAGGGAGGGGCCCCCCAGAGCCUCUGUGCGUGGGGCCAGGAUUGCCCCCGGGGCUGUUGCACCUGACCCUGCUCAGGUUCUCCCCACAACGCACAGAUACCUGUGGAGCUGAUGCUCCACCAACUACAGUCAGAUAAAGAACGUUGUCCCCACCCUAAGAAACUGACAUUCUGUUUAUGCUGCUUCUUCCCUUGCCACAGGAGGAAAGCCCUUACAGAAGUCUGAGCAAAGUCAGAGCUCCCACCCCACAGUGCCCUUCCCUCCCUGCUCCUCCCAGCCUUGGAUGCCGCUGGGCAGAGGCCUUCAGAGGCCGGUUUGCAGCCUCAGAUGGACCUUAUUCUUUCCCUCUUAGUUUCUAUCAAUCAGACAUGAAAGAACCAUCUUGGACCAGCCUGCUCCUGGUUUCUUCUGUGAAGUCUGGUAGGAAUGUGAUACUUUUCUGAGCCUCUGCAGUGCACCUAGGACCCUUUCCGAACUGGCUGCUUACUUUUCUAAUGAGCUCUUUCUGUUCCCAUGCUGGCUUUCAGCCCUUCUGUCUCCAUGCCCUGAGAUGGUGCACUCUUGUCACUUUGCUAGCAAGUUAAUAAACUCAGAUACAUGCCCAAGAUAGCACGUUUUAACGCCACACACCUAGCACACCCCUUGAAACCCUCUGUGAUGCCCCCCUGCCCAGACUAAGUUAACCACAGCCGACCCACCUGCCAUGCCCUGAAUAUGGCUGCAUCCUUGGGGCUUCUCUCCUGCCGGCUACACCUUCUGUAAUCCUCCCCCAUGGGCCUGCCAAGUCUGCCAGGAGCCUCCUCCUGUGACUCAAGCGGACCGGUGUAGCCCUGUCUGAGCACCUCCCACACCUCUUCCGGGAACCCGUGGUUCUGCUCAGCUCUGGAACCCCAACCCCCAGUGCAGGGCAUGGCAUGUCCAAGGGACUUGGAAAACAUAUGUUGAGUAAUUUAAAUUUAGUCAGAUAGAUGGCAGGCUGCCUUUGUCUCACAUUUAUGUGCUGUCUUGAUUAUUUUUCCCCCUUUGAUCCAGGCUUCUGCUGGUCCCCUCAUCUGGACAUCUUGGCAGAGCAACCCAUGCUGGGGUUUAGAGUGGGGAAGUGGGGGUUGGGGGUGCAUCGUCCCCUAGUAACUCUCUGGGACCCUCUCCCUGGUAGGAGGCUCUUCUCCCCAGGAACCUGAAGUGGAAGCCACCUGGGUCCCCUGCACACAGUGAUCCGAACACCUCUGCAUGUAUCCAGUCAGCUCCUGUGAAAAUCAGGUCUCAUCUUGGCUGAGGACACUACACGGUAAUGGUUCUCAACACAACCAAUAAAUCUGAAAUGUGUGAGAAGGAGCGAGAUCCAGUGAGAGAGAAGCAAUUAAUACAGACCCAUUAAGUCAACUAAUAUUAUUAAACAUUUAAAUUUAGAAAUUGCCCUCCUGGUAUAAGACCACUUUUUAGAGGCAGAGCUGCUGCUUACAUCUCUUUCACACCCAGGCUCCGUGACUACGGAGACUGCCCAGGGGGCCUGUCCUCUCCAGCCCCCCCGCCCCCGGCUGCCCCUCCCUGGUGUAGCUGCCUGGGAGUGGACUGAGCCCUCAGCACCGGCCUCAGUCCUGAGGGGGCCCAGCUGGGAUCCGAGUCCCCAGACUGGGGCAGUAACUCAGGGGCAGAAGGAGAAGGACCACGUGCUUUAGGGCUGAGAAGGGAGGAAGAGGAUUCUGGGGACUCAGAAGGAAGUCUGGGGACCUCUGUGGAGGCUGAGGGGCUGCCCCACUGGUGGGGAGGUGGGGUGAGGAUAGGGGCGCUGUCCAGGAACCAGGCUAGGGGUGACGGUGGGGUGUCCAUGUUCUGGACAUACUGUGACAUGGUGACAUGUGCAGGAGAGUCUCUGGUAGCAAUCCUACUUGUUCAACAAA